ACUGGGACUGAGACACGGCCCAGACUCCUACGGGAGGCAGCAGUGGGGAAUAUUGCACAAUGGGCGGAAGCCUGAUGCAGCGACGCCGCGUGAGGGAUGACGGCCUUCGGGUUGUAAACCUCUUUCAGCAGGGACGAAGCGUAAGUGACGGUACCUGCAGAAGAAGCGCCGGCCAACUACGUGCCAGCAGCCGCGGUAAGACGUAGGGCGCGAGCGUUGUCCGGAAUUAUUGGGCGUAAAGAGCUCGUAGGCGGCUUGUUGCGUCGGCUGUGAAAACCUAGGGCUUAACUCUGGGCUUGCAGCCGAUACGGGCAGGCUAGAAUUCGGUAGGGGAGACUGGAAUUCCUGGUGUAGCGGUGAAAUGCGCAGAUAUCAGGAGGAACACCGGUGGCGAAGGCGGGUCUCUGGGCCGAUAUUGACGCUGAGGAGCGAAAGCGUGGGGAGCGAACAGGAUUAGAUACCCUGGUAGUCCACGCUGUAAACGUUGGGCGCUAGGUGUGGGGGACCUCUCCGGUUCUCUGUGCCGCAGCUAACGCAUUAAGCGCCCCGCCUGGGGAGUACGGCCGCAAGGC
This 572-nucleotide ribosomal RNA is filed under the name uncultured bacterium. Its description in RNAcentral is "bacterial SSU rRNA". It matches the Rfam family "Bacterial small subunit ribosomal RNA", at positions 312 to 894 of the family's 1533-position model. The record is from RNAcentral.